CACGUAGGCGGCCUGGUAAGUCAGAUGUGAAAGCCCGGGGCUUAACCCCGGAAGUGCAUUUGAUACUGUCAGGCUUGAGUAUGGGAGAGGGAAGUGGAAUUCCUGGUGUAGAGGUGAAAUUCGUAGAUAUCAGGAGGAACACCGGUGGCGAAGGCGACUUCCUGGACCAAUACUGACGCUGAGGUGCGAAGGCGUGUGUAGCAAACA
Molecule: ribosomal RNA, 207 nt
Filed under: uncultured bacterium
Lineage: Bacteria
Description: partial 16S ribosomal RNA
Rfam family: Bacterial small subunit ribosomal RNA
Source: RNAcentral